ACCAGACUCCUACGGGAGGCAGCAGUGGGGGAUAUUGCACAAUGGGGGGAACCCUGAUGCAGCGACGCCGCGUGGGUGAAGAAGCGCCUCGGCGCGUAAAGCCCUGUCAGCAGGGAAGAAAAUGACGGUACCUGAAGAAGAAGCCCCGGCUAACUACGUGCCAGCAGCCGCGGUAAUACGUAGGGGGCGAGCGUUAUCCGGAUUCACUGGGUGUAAAGGGAGCGUAGACGGCCAAGCAAGCCAGGGGUGAAAGCCCGGGGCCCAACCCCGGGACUGCCCUUGGAACUGCUUGGCUGGAGUGCGGGAGGGGCAGGCGGAAUUCCUGGUGUAGCGGUGAAAUGCGUAGAUAUCAGGAGGAACACCGGCGGCGAAGGCGGCCUGCUGGACCGCUACUGACGUUGAGGCUCGAAAGCGUGGGGAGCAAACAGGAUUAGAUACCCCCGUAA
This 446-nucleotide ribosomal RNA is filed under the name uncultured bacterium. Its description in RNAcentral is "partial 16S ribosomal RNA". It matches the Rfam family "Bacterial small subunit ribosomal RNA", at positions 330 to 793 of the family's 1533-position model. The record is from RNAcentral.